AGGAGCAACAACCCCAGUGGUGGGGCCAGCUCUGGAGCCCUGCAUUCAGCUCCCAGAGUAGCUCCGGAGCUCUCGGUCUGCAGGGCCUGAAGGCUCCAGUGUGGU
This 105-nucleotide microRNA precursor is filed under the name Canis lupus familiaris (dog). Its description in RNAcentral is "mir-8834 microRNA precursor family". It matches the Rfam family "mir-8834 microRNA precursor family". Lineage: Eukaryota; Metazoa; Chordata; Mammalia; Carnivora; Canidae. RNAcentral also lists the same sequence under 1 other name. The record is from Rfam by way of RNAcentral.